GUGCACCAGGCGAGAAAACUUCACACUGUGCGAAAGCACGAUGAGGGAAUCCCAAGUGCUUGCACGUAAGUGUAAGCUGUUUCUCUGUCUAAAACGCAGAGAGAGUAAGGGCUGGGUAAGACGGGUGCCAGUCGCCGCGGUAAUACCUGCAGCUCAAGUGGUGACCGUUAUUAUUGGGCCUAAAACGUCCGUAGCCGGUUUAAUAAAUGCCUGGGUAAAUUGUGUAGCUUAACUAUACGAAUUCCGGGUAGACUGUUAAACUUGAGACCGGGAGAAGUUAGAGGUACUCCUGGGGUAGAGGUGAAAUUCUGUAAUCCUAGGGGGACCACCAGUGGCGAAGGCGUCUAACUAGAACGGGUCUGACGGUGAGGGACGAAGCCCUGGGGCGCAAACGGGGAUUAGAUACCCGUGUAGU
Molecule: ribosomal RNA, 415 nt
Filed under: uncultured microorganism
Description: bacterial SSU rRNA
Rfam family: Archaeal small subunit ribosomal RNA
Source: RNAcentral